GGGAAAGAUGAAAAGCACUUUGGAAAGAGAGUUAAACAGUACGUGAAAUUGUUGAAAGGGAAACGAUUGAAGUCAGUCGCGUCCGCCGGGACUCAGCCUUGCGUUCUCGCUCGGUGUACUUUCUGGUGGACGGGCCAGCAUCAAUUUUGAUCGUCGGAAAAGGAUCGGGGAAAUGUGGCACCUUUCGGGGUGUGUUAUAGUCUCCGGUCGCAUACGACGGUUGGGAUUGAGGAACUCAGCAUGCCUUUACGGUCGGGGUUCGCCCACGUUCAUGCUUAGGRUGCUGGCGUAAUGGCUUUAAACGACCCGUCUUGAAACACGGACCAAGGAGUCUAACAUGCCCGCGAGUGUUCGGGUGGAAAACCCGUGCGCGUAAUGAAAGUGAAAGUUGGGACCUCUGUCGCGGAGGGCACCGACGCCCGGACCAGAACUUCUGUGACGGAUCUGCGGUAGAGCGUGUAUGUUGGGACCCGAAAGAUGGUGAACUAUGCCUGAAUAGGGUGAAGCCAGAGGAAACUCUGGUGGAGGNNNNNNNNAUUCUGACGUGCAAAUCGAUCGUCAAAUUUGGGUAUAGGGGCGAAAGACUAAU
RNAcentral lists this ribosomal RNA (589 nucleotides) under Heterobasidion annosum. RNAcentral describes it as "partial large subunit ribosomal RNA". Lineage: Eukaryota; Fungi; Basidiomycota; Agaricomycetes; Russulales; Bondarzewiaceae. The record is from RNAcentral.